Molecule: ribosomal RNA, 253 nt
Filed under: uncultured bacterium
Lineage: Bacteria
Description: partial 16S ribosomal RNA
Rfam family: Bacterial small subunit ribosomal RNA
Source: RNAcentral
UACAGAGGCCUCGAGCGUUAGGCGGAAUCACUGGGCUUAAAGCGUGUGUAGGCGGACUUCUAAGUACCUUGUGAAAUCCCACGGCUCACCCGUGGAACUGCUCGGUAUACUGGUCGUCUUGAGCCUUCUAGGGGCUACCGGAACAAAUGGUGGAGCGGUGAAAUGCGUAGAUAUCAGUUGGAACGCCAAUGGUGAAAACAGGUAGCUGGGGAAGUGCUGACGCUGAGACACGAAAGCCAGGGGAGCGAACGGG